GAUGAACGCUGGCGGCGUGCCUAAUACAUGCAAGUCGAGCGAACAGAUGAGGAGCUUGCGCCGCUGUCGUGAGCCGAGGACGGGUGAGUAACAUGUGGAUCAUCUACCUAUAAGUCUGGGAUAAUUUCGGGAAACCGGCGCUAAUACCGGAGAAUAUAUUGAACCGCAUGGGUCGAUGGUGAGAGACGGUGUUGGUGGCACUUAUAGAUGGAUCCGCGCCGCAUUAGCUGGUUGGUAAGGUAACGGCUUACCAAGGCAACGAGGCGUAUCCGACCGGCGGGGGGGAUCGCCGACCCUGGAGGGUGGACAGCGUCCAGACUCCUGCGGUAGGCAGCAGUCGGCAACGGUCCGCAGUAGGCGAAAGCAUUACGGAACAGCGGCGCGUGAGUUAUGACGACCCUCGGUGCGUAAAACUCUGUUACUAGUGAAGAACCGCUUUGGCCGUAAAUGAGGACGUCGUGACGGUACCUAAUCAGAAAGCCCCGGCUAACUACGUG
This 497-nucleotide ribosomal RNA is filed under the name uncultured bacterium. RNAcentral describes it as "partial 16S ribosomal RNA". It matches the Rfam family "Bacterial small subunit ribosomal RNA", at positions 28 to 507 of the family's 1533-position model. The record is from RNAcentral.